UGGGCUAUCGCCAAGCGGUAAGGCACAGGACUUUGACUCCUGCAUUCGCAAGUUCGAAUCUUGCUAGCCCAG
This 72-nucleotide transfer RNA is filed under the name Lachnospiraceae bacterium. RNAcentral's name for it is "tRNA-Gln". It matches the Rfam family "tRNA". From Rfam's summary of the family: Transfer RNA (tRNA) molecules are approximately 80 nucleotides in length. Lineage: Bacteria; Bacillati; Bacillota; Clostridia; Lachnospirales; Lachnospiraceae. The record is from RNAcentral. RNAcentral also lists the same sequence under 1 other name.